Molecule: long non-coding RNA, 1445 nt
Organism: Lycium ferocissimum
Lineage: Eukaryota; Viridiplantae; Streptophyta; Magnoliopsida; Solanales; Solanaceae
Exons: 4
Source: RefSeq, a predicted model, not a curated record
AUUUUACUUGGAUCCUAAGUGCCUAUUUAAGAUGUAAUUAACAAAAUCUAUCUAUAUCUCUAGGAGAGGCAAACCAAUAUUGGAGUGACAAGUGUCAUCACCAUAAAAAUCUAAUUUUAAAAUAUAAAAAUAAUUGGAAAUUCAUAAAAAAAAAAACUGUAAAAUUAAAAAUUGUCAAUCCACAAAAACCGAAAUUAAAAAAAAAAAAAAAAACGAAAAAGAAAAUUGUAGUUGCAAAUUACAGUUUUGGAGAUGGUUAUAACUUGAUACACAGAACUCCCAACACCAAGAAAUUGACGAUGGAAAAUUUUCAAAAACAGAAAAGAAGAAGAAGAAGAAUCAUUCUGUGACAAUGGAAACCAUCGCUGAAAACUCUAAUUAAAAAAAUCGGUAUGGAUCGCAGGUAGAUUAUUCUGGAGAGGCAACAUCGGCUCAGUUGUGUAGAUAAGGAAACCUAAACUCUGAAUAUUAUUGGUCUCCUUUCAGUGAUGCUGAAAUAAAUUCAAUUCAAGGGACUUUUCUAUGCAAGUGAAAAAAGGUCAUGAAAAGAUAAAACUAAGUAGUUGGACUUCUGGAUCCAAGUGAUGGUGAUUUCUUUGAAGCUAUGGCAAUGAUGUUCAUGCUGGUGACAAACAAAUUGAAAAAAAUGCUGGUGAAAUAUCAAUGUGUUGCAUUUCAACCAUUCAUAGCCGCUACCCUUCGGGUGCGCAUAGGGUAAAGCCAGCUCCUGUGUAAUAGCUCGCAAACCACAUAGGAGAGAUAACCCGCACUAGGCAACCCGUGCGACGAGCUCAACCCAGAAGGUAAAUCCCCUACUGUUGUAGGCAGGAGUUGCGAACCUAAAACCUCCAUUAUGAAAGGCCCAUGCUCAACCAACUGAGCCACCCUUGCGGGUAAUACGACUUCUUUUUCUUUAUUGAUAAAAGAUAAAUUCUUUAGGACCUGAUCAGACGACAAUAUUUAAGUAUAAUCGCAAGAUGAUGAAUGAUGCCAGUUCAGUUGUUGCACCUGUUGGUAGCACUAUUACUACAACACCUUUGCUGGGAAGGAGAAAGAAAAAAACAUGUGAGGAAGAUCGAUUCAAAUGAGGAUUGUAUGGCUGAAAGUGAGAUGAUGUCUUCUUUACAAACUCCAUCAAGAAAAGCAUAUCAGAAAGUGGAUCGUUCGUGCUAGAAGAUGGUGAUGAUUGGAAUGCAAAACUAUCCACCAAGAGAAGCAAAUCCGUAGGCAGAUCUUCAAUGCAAGAACAUGAUAAUGAUGAGCUGAAUGUGAAACUAUUCAGCAAUAGGGUUCAGAAAGUGAUUAAGAAGGAAAAAAACACGAGUUCUUCACUUAUAGGAGACUGUAGUAACUAAAUGCACACUUUUAUUCCAGUCAGGUGUUUUUCUUUGUUAAACAUUUAUUUUACAAUGUCUAUAAGCUAUUUUGGAUAUGAACAAGUUUUA